Molecule: ribosomal RNA, 468 nt
Filed under: uncultured bacterium
Lineage: Bacteria
Description: partial 16S ribosomal RNA
Rfam family: Bacterial small subunit ribosomal RNA
Source: RNAcentral
GACGAACGCUGGCGGCGUGUUUAACACAUGCAAGUCGAACGGAAAGGCCCUGCUUUUGUGGGGUGCUCGAGUGGCGAACGGGUGAGUAACACGUGAGUAACCUGCCCUUGACUUUGGGAUAACUUCAGGAAACUGGGGCUAAUACCGGAUAGGAGCUCCUGCUGCAUGGUGGGGGUUGGAAAGUUUCGGCGGUUGGGGAUGGACUCGCGGCUUAUCAGCUUGUUGGUGGGGUAGUGGCUUACCAAGGCUUUGACGGGUAGCCGGCCUGAGAGGGUGACCGGCCACAUUGGGACUGAGAUACGGCCCAGACUCCUACGGGAGGCAGCAGUGGGGAAUAUUGCACAAUGGGCGGAAGCCUGAUGCAGCAACGCCGCGUGCGGGAUGACGGCCUUCGGGUUGUAAACCGCUUUCGCCUGUGACGAAGCGUGAGUGACGGUAAUGGGUAAAGAAGCACCGGCUAACUACGUG